AGUUUGGAAAGGAGAAUGCAGCACUGCUGGCUAUGGAGCCCAUGGACUAAAGUGGGGGAGAGACAAGAGCAGUGCUGUGACGCUCAGGUGGAUCCUGGCUAGAACCAUGGUGCAGUUGGAAUCUCUUAAUCACAGGGAAGCUGCAGUUGUGAAUCUAGGGACCUAGAUAGGGGGAGACUUGGGGGGAAAAGACUCUCCAGUGAAAUCAAAAGCCACAGUAGAGCUGACAGAGCUCCCUGGCUCUGAGGUUACUGGACGGGGAACCAGGAACCCGAAGCUCUGGAUUGAGGGUGAAAUUGGAAACCCCAAGAGGGAAGGGUUUGGGCCUGAAAGGGCUGAAGUAGACUGUGUUUCUUAAAGACAUAAUACACUGAACACUGGGAAGGGAACUUAGUUGAAGUACUCUGUGCUGCUAACAUGUUAUUGGGACUGGAUAGCGGGGUGCCAGCAAGGACAUGCUUUACUAUGCAGUGGUGUACUCUGGGGUGGGACUCUGCCCUAGAGCCCUUCAUGCCCGUAUUCUCCCCUAUGGGCUGGACUGCAUAUUCCAUGAUCCACUGUGGUGACUCCCUGUGGCUGAGGUGCUGCAUUCCCAAACUCCCAGGGAUGCCUUUCCAAUUGCACAUGGCAUUUCUUUGCUCAGUUAAUUUUUUCAAAGGGAAUUCUAGAGCUGGAUUGGAUGCAGGUGGAACAAGUGUAAUUACCUUCUGCAUUGCCCCAGGCUGCAAAUGUUCCCUCUCAUGGACCAUUUAAGACCACAGCUACUUCAGCUGAAAUCCUGGAGAUGCUGCUUUGUCCUGUUGGUGCACUGGGAAGUCCCCAAAGUCAUCACCCAGAGAUUCCAGGGGAUUGGUGUCUGGGGGCACGGUGCUGCUGAAGAUACCAUCCUUUCACUGAGACACAUUAAAGACAAGGAUCAGGAGCUUGUUUCAAAAGACCUCAUGGAAAUUUCCAUAAAAGCAGAGGUUUAGCACUGGUGUCCUGGCCAAACUCUCAAAGUCAGAGAUCUCUUUCCAUUGAGAAGAGGAAGAGGACUGCAGGAGUAGACAAAGAUCCGUCCACGUUGAAACAAAAACAGGAUAGCACCCCUGACAAACAGGUCUCUGGUGUGCAAAGUGUGCAAACGUGUGCGAAAGUGAGCUGAUCACUGGCGGGCUGGUUUCACACCCUUGGGGCUAACAAACCAGAGGGGAAGAGUCUGUGUGUCUG
Molecule: long non-coding RNA, 1209 nt
Organism: Mauremys mutica (yellowpond turtle)
Lineage: Eukaryota; Metazoa; Chordata; Testudines; Geoemydidae
Exons: 5
Source: RefSeq, a predicted model, not a curated record